This 305-nucleotide ribosomal RNA is filed under the name uncultured bacterium. Its description in RNAcentral is "bacterial SSU rRNA". It matches the Rfam family "Bacterial small subunit ribosomal RNA", at positions 337 to 659 of the family's 1533-position model. The record is from RNAcentral.
GCCUACGGGGGGCAGCAGUGGAGAAUAUUGCACAAUGGGCGAAAGCCUGAUGCAGCAACGCCGCGUGAAGGAAGAAGGUCUUCGGAUCGUAAACUUCUGUCCUUGGGGAAGAUAACGACGGUACCCUUGGAGGAAGCCCCGGCUAACUACGUGCCAGCAGCCGCGGUAAUACGUAGGGAGCGAGCGUUAUCCGGAUUUAUUGGGUGUAAAGGGUGCGUAGACGGGAAUACAAGUUGGUUGUGAAAGCCCUCGGCUUAACUGAGGAACUGCAACCAAAACUAUAUUUCUUGAGUAUCGGAGAGGAA